AACAAUUUUGUAAUUGUUCUUGAUUUACAAAUGAGAAAAACUGGGGUUGAGAGAAGACUUACACGAGCCUGGGAGGCUUUAAAUCUUGCAAUUCUCAUAACUUUUUUUUGCAUAUUUUUUUGGCACAGAGUAAUCACUUAUCUUAAAAAAUUAAAAAGAAUUUAUAGUUUUAGAUUUUUCAAAUCUUACUUUUAAUACGGGUUCUUAAAUGCUUUAACCUUCCUUCUAUCCCACCACCCACCAGAGGUAGGAGAAAAGAAGAGUUGUUAGGAUAUGGGGGCAGUGGACCUGUUUAGAAACUGUUCUUUGGAGCAAAUCCCAUUUGUGUUAUCAGGAGAUCAGCAGUUCAUUUACAGGAAUCAUCAGUUGCAGCUUGAUCCAUUUGCAAACACUUCACGAACUAUCAAUCGGUAGUGUUGGGAUAGCAAACAUGAAUCAGCAGUGGAAUGACCUAGCAGAGACAUACAGGUCUUAGAUGAGUCAGCAUGAAUCAGCAGGAGGAACCAGGACUACCAGGGACAUCAGGAGAAGUUCUUUGCCUUGCCUCUCUCAAAGAAACAAUGAUCACUGAAGACUGGCGACCAAGAAGCCUUCUUUGCAGAGCUAGCUAUGCAAGCAAGCCCCCCUCACAGUCUGUUGAGUCCUAUUUAUACUCCCUCCAAACAUCACGUGUCCUCCAUGGGUCUUACCUCACCACGUGUCUUGCCUCAGCACGUGCGUCUGUAUCAACUGCCAUCAUUCUGCCAAUUGACUCGAGUCUGCAGAAGUGGCAAAAAGCAUCAGGCACACCACCUUUGAUGUGUCUAUCUCUAUGGAGUCCCUACAAACAAUGACCAAUAAACAAUGGUAAGGCGUACCAAUACCAACCAGCA
RNAcentral lists this long non-coding RNA (872 nucleotides) under Mus musculus (house mouse). RNAcentral's name for it is "long non-coding RNA chr1:84965292-84966164". Lineage: Eukaryota; Metazoa; Chordata; Mammalia; Rodentia; Muridae. The record is from RNAcentral.